Long non-coding RNA from Thalassophryne amazonica, 162 nucleotides. RefSeq lists it as uncharacterized. The record is from RefSeq and is a predicted model, not a curated record. The transcript is spliced from 3 exons. NCBI's taxonomy places the organism in Eukaryota, Metazoa, Chordata, Actinopteri, Batrachoidiformes, Batrachoididae.
AUAACUUUGAAAACCAUAAGUGGACCAAUUAGCUUCCAAGAAAUUUAGUUCCAAUAACUUUUAGAUUGCUAAUAUAUUUUUGUGGGCAUAGGAAAUAAAGCUUAACAGUUAAAAAAUUUGUAAAGUCUGAAAUCAAAGAUUUUAACAUAAAUAAGUGUGAUA